ACCUCGAUGGCUUAGAUGGUUAGAGCAUCUGCCUUAUAAACAGGAGAUCCCGGGUUCGAGUCCCGGUCGAGGUA
Schistocerca nitens (vagrant locust) is the source of this 74-nucleotide non-coding RNA. The record is from the annotation of a RefSeq genome assembly. Lineage: Eukaryota; Metazoa; Arthropoda; Insecta; Orthoptera; Acrididae.